CUUGGUCCGGAUGUUAUUACGCGAAAGCUUCGCACCGAGCGCGAAGGAGUGAACGUUCACGUUGCUCGCGCGCCCGAACUCGCCGUGAAACGACGCCAUGUGGAACGCAUCCGCCGCUUCGUCCUGAAACUUCACGAACUCCAGCCGGGCGUUGUCGCCGACAAAAAGCUCCGUGACCGCGUUCGUGAAAUAACCCGCGCCACCCAGCGACACGUAGCUUUCGAGAAUCGUGACCGCGCUGUUCGCCUCGGCGAUGACGAGAUUGCGCGGAUGAAACGUCGUGCCGUUCUGUUUCGCCGUCGAGACAUAGACAAGUUGAAUGGGUUCUUCGACAACUUUGCCAGCGGGCACGUGAACGAAUCC
RNAcentral lists this unclassified non-coding RNA (363 nucleotides) under fungal sp. Its description in RNAcentral is "partial internal transcribed spacer region". The record is from RNAcentral. Lineage: Eukaryota; Fungi.